CGGGGCAUAGUGUAGCGGCCAACAUGCUCGCUUUGGGAGUGAGUGAUCCUCGGUUCGAAUCCGAGUGCCCCGACCA
RNAcentral lists this transfer RNA (76 nucleotides) under bacterium. RNAcentral describes it as "tRNA-Pro". It matches the Rfam family "tRNA". From Rfam's summary of the family: Transfer RNA (tRNA) molecules are approximately 80 nucleotides in length. Their secondary structure includes four short double-helical elements and three loops (D, anti-codon, and T loops). The record is from RNAcentral.